Oncorhynchus masou masou (cherry salmon) is the source of this 2211-nucleotide long non-coding RNA. RefSeq lists it as uncharacterized. Lineage: Eukaryota; Metazoa; Chordata; Actinopteri; Salmoniformes; Salmonidae. The record is from RefSeq and is a predicted model, not a curated record. The transcript is spliced from 4 exons.
AAUCCGAGUGUGACAAUGACUCAGAGUAAGCCCCUCCUGCUUCCUGGCAGCGAAUGGCGUUGCGUCUUCCUGACUUCAUUGUCAAAUUGGAAUCUAGCAUCAGUAGAAACACGCCUGACUCUCCUCCACCAGUCAUACAAGGAGAAUGGUCUAAUGCCUCCCAUUAAAAAAGAGAACUGGCCCAAGCAAGCAAAGGCAGCAGUGCAGUCAUCAACUGCAUGCCCCAUUUCUUCACCAACUACGGAGUUAGGGAAACACAUGUGGACCUGAAUUGUGAAAACUGCAGUGGCCAAAACAAGAACAAGUUUGUGCUCUGGUAUUGUGCCUGGUGGACCAUGCACAAGCUCCACCACAGUCUGGAACUUUCACUUCCUGAUCACAGGCCACACCAAGUUUGCCCCCGGCUGGUGCAUUGGGCCUUAUAUCAAGCAGCGCUUCAGAAAGACCAGAGUGAACACGUUGUCUGAGAUUGCUGGUGUUGUGAAGAACUGCACCAUGACAGGGGUCAACGUCCCACAGCUGGUUGGACUGGAGGAUAUUACGGUGCUGUUGGAAAGCUAUGGCUGGCAACAACACCUGACUCCGAACUUCAGGCCACUGCCACAGAUCAAGCAGUACCAGCACUUCAGCUUCAAUGCUCUGGAGCCUGGUGUUGUUGUCACCAAGGAGCGCUUGGACUGUCAGGAUCAGAUUUUAGCUGCUGUGCAUCGCUGACAUCCUUUCUCCCAUAGAUGGUCUGCCUGUACAAGCACCGCCUGGACUGGACACAGCUAGACAAAUAUAUGUUUUUGAGAAGAUCAGGGAGUUUUGCGACGAAGAGGCUAUGACUCCCUGCAGCUCUCUGUCUCUGAAGAGGAGGUUCCCCCUGAGCAGCAGCACUGUGAGCAGGAGUGGAGCCCCAGUGGUGGGCAGAAGGACCCAGAGACCAAACAGAUUAAAGAGGAACAGGAGGGAGUCAGGACCAGUCAAGAGGAAGAGCAGAUUCAAGAGCAGGGGCCUCAUAUCACUGAUUUCAAUUUCACUCCUUCCUGUGUGGAAAGAGAAUGUGCUUGACUCAUCCCCAAACCCAGACUGUGGAGAAUAGUCAAACCUUUUGCCACUGUGACCCACCUAAAGGGUUUCAAAAUUCCAGAUAAUCAGAACAAUGCCUAAAGCCACAACUCAGCCAUAAGCAGCAACCAUGUAGGACUUGACAGCAGUCCACCAUUGGAUCCCAGCCCACCAUUGGAUCCAAGCCCACCAUUGGAUCCCAGCCCACCAUUGGAUCCCAGCCCACAAUUGGAUCCCAGCCCACUAUUGGAUCUCAGCCCACCAUUGGAUCCCAGUCCACCAUUGGAUCUCAGCCCACUAUUGGAUCUCAGCCCACCAUUAGAUCAGAACCCCCCAAUGUGGGAACCCUACACCUGCCCCUUUUAUGGCAAGACCUUCAAACACCUGUCCAUGUACAUGAGAAUUCACAGAAGAGAGAAACCAUUUAGCUGUGGUGACUGGAGGAAAGCUUCAAUCCCAAGCAACAUCUAACCAGACAUUAUACGCAUUCACAGACGAGAGAAACCAUUUAGCUGUGCUGACAGUGGGAAUAGCUUCAAUCCCAAGCAACACCUAUCCAGACAUUAUACGCAUUCACAGACGAGAGAAACCAUUUAGCUGUGCUGACAGUGGGAAUAGCUUCAAUCCCAAGAAGCACCUAUCCAGACAUUAUACGCAUUCACAGAAGAGAGAAACCAUUUAGCUGUGCUGACAGUGGGAAUAGCUUCAAUCCCAAGAAGCACCUAUCCAGACAUUAUACGCAUUCACUGAAGAGAGAAACCAUUUAGCUGUGCUGACAGUGGGAAUAGCUUCAAUCCCAAGAAGCACCUAAAUGAACAUGACAGACAGGAGUGAAAUAACAUGGCUGCUCCGUCUGGGAUAAAAUAAUGACUCGGAAGACUUAUCUGCUGAGGAAUAUAAAUAAUAUCUACAAAGAGAGAAACACUGACAAUAGAAACAAGUUCUUCAGUCACUCUUAGGAAAGGAGAGUAACUCCAGAACAUUCAUACUGUGGGUCUCAGAUAAAUACAUAUACUGUACCAUGGACUUAGUGUUGUAAAACAGUGUAUGUAAAUAAAGUUUGAUUUGAUUUGAAUGAUGACGUAAUGAUCAAACCGUACAGAGUAUUGUAGGAAAUUCACAGUUCUGCUGUUCAAAGUCUGUUUAAUUUUUCCCUUCAUA